GGGGAUAUAGCUCAGUUGGUAGAGUGCUUGCUUAGCAUGCACAAGGCCCUGGGUUCAAUCCCCAGUACCACAA
This 73-nucleotide transfer RNA is filed under the name Ictidomys tridecemlineatus (thirteen-lined ground squirrel). RNAcentral describes it as "Spermophilus tridecemlineatus (thirteen-lined ground squirrel) tRNA". It matches the Rfam family "tRNA". From Rfam's summary of the family: Transfer RNA (tRNA) molecules are approximately 80 nucleotides in length. Their secondary structure includes four short double-helical elements and three loops (D, anti-codon, and T loops). The record is from Rfam by way of RNAcentral. Lineage: Eukaryota; Metazoa; Chordata; Mammalia; Rodentia; Sciuridae.